RNAcentral lists this ribosomal RNA (458 nucleotides) under uncultured Rhodocyclaceae bacterium. RNAcentral's name for it is "bacterial SSU rRNA". It matches the Rfam family "Bacterial small subunit ribosomal RNA", at positions 925 to 1382 of the family's 1533-position model. Lineage: Bacteria; Pseudomonadati; Pseudomonadota; Betaproteobacteria; Rhodocyclales; Rhodocyclaceae. The record is from RNAcentral.
ACAAGCGGUGGAUGAUGUGGAUUAAUUCGAUGCAACGCGAAAACCUUACUACCCUUGACAUGUCCGGAAUCCCGAAGAGAUUUGGGAGUGCUCGCAAGGAGAACCGGAACACGAGGUGCUGCAUGGCUGUCGUCAGCUCGUGUCGUGAGAUGUUGGGUUAAGUCCCGCAACGAGCGCAACCCUUGUCAUUAGUUGCCAUCAUUUGGUUGGGCACUCUAAUGAGACUGCCGGUGACAAACCGGAGGAAGGUGGGGAUGACGUCAAGUCCUCAUGGCCCUUAUGGGUAGGGCUUCACACGUCAUACAAUGGUCGGUACAGAGGGUUGCCAACCCGCGAGGGGGAGCUAAUCCCACAAAGCCGAUCGUAGUCCGGAUCGCAGUCUGCAACUCGACUGCGUGAAGUCGGAAUCGCUAGUAAUCGUGGAUCAGCAUGUCACGGUGAAUACGUUCCCGGGUCUU